This is a long non-coding RNA of Etheostoma spectabile (orangethroat darter), 328 nucleotides long. RefSeq lists it as uncharacterized. NCBI's taxonomy places the organism in Eukaryota, Metazoa, Chordata, Actinopteri, Perciformes, Percidae. The record is from RefSeq and is a predicted model, not a curated record. The transcript is spliced from 2 exons.
GUUUACGACCGCCCUAAUGUGCUGUGACAGCGAGCUGAUCUGGUCAGAGCUCUGACCAUGCAUGACUCCUGCCACAGCAAAGGGCAGUAGCAUCAUGCAAAACACAACAGCUGGCCAAUCAGAGCUCUUGUUGCCCCUCUGUGGGUUCAUUUGUAGGUGGUACACUGCUUAUUUAACCCUUCUAUCUAAGUUGAAGCAAUCACAAAAUGGGAAUAUUUUGAUGUUAAAGCCAAGGAGAAAUGAUCAUGAGAUGGAUCAUGAUGGGCACAUUGCAUCCUAAACAGCAAAAUGUAAAGCCUUUUUCAUGAAUAAUUUUCAGAUUGCAUUU